Non-coding RNA from Trametes polyzona, 89 nucleotides. Lineage: Eukaryota; Fungi; Basidiomycota; Agaricomycetes; Polyporales; Polyporaceae. The record is from the annotation of a GenBank genome assembly.
GGCCGGCUGGCCUAAUGGUUAAGGCGUCAGUUUCCGGUGACCGCCCACCUGUUAGCUGAAGAUUCUGGGUUCGACUCCCAGGUUGGUCG